This 497-nucleotide ribosomal RNA is filed under the name uncultured bacterium. Its description in RNAcentral is "partial 16S ribosomal RNA". It matches the Rfam family "Bacterial small subunit ribosomal RNA", at positions 28 to 507 of the family's 1533-position model. The record is from RNAcentral.
GAUGAACGCUGGCGGCGUGCCUAAUACAUGCAAGUCGAGCGAGCAGAUGAGGAGCUUGCUCCUCUGACGUUAGCGGCGGACGGGUGAGUAACACGUGGAUAACCUACCUAUAAGACUGGGAUAACUUCGGGAAACCGGAGCUAAUACCGGAUAAUAUAUUGAACCGCAUGGUUCAAUAGUGAAAGACGGUUUUGCUGUCACUUAUAGAUGGAUCCGCGCCGCAUUAGCUAGUUGGUAAGGUAACGGCUUACCAAGGCAUCGAUGCGUAGCCGACCUGAGAGGGUGAUCGGCCACACUGGAACUGAGACACGGUCCAGACUCCUACGGGAGGCAGCAGUAGGGAAUCUUCCGCAAUGGGCGAAAGCCUGACGGAGCAACGCCGCGUGAGUGAUGAAGGUCUUCGGAUCGUAAAACUCUGUUAUUAGGGAAGAACAAAUGUGUAAGUAACUAUGCACGUCUUGACGGUACCUAAUCAGAAAGCCACGGCUAACUACGUG